RNAcentral lists this transfer RNA (71 nucleotides) under Thalictrum thalictroides. RNAcentral describes it as "tRNA-His". It matches the Rfam family "tRNA". From Rfam's summary of the family: Transfer RNA (tRNA) molecules are approximately 80 nucleotides in length. Their secondary structure includes four short double-helical elements and three loops (D, anti-codon, and T loops). The record is from RNAcentral. Lineage: Eukaryota; Viridiplantae; Streptophyta; Magnoliopsida; Ranunculales; Ranunculaceae.
GAUCUUUAGCUCAAAGGGUAGAGCGCUUGAGAAUGGCUCAAGAGAUGGUGGUUCGAAUCCACCAAGGUCCU